RNAcentral lists this small nuclear RNA (107 nucleotides) under Castor canadensis (American beaver). The record is from RNAcentral. Lineage: Eukaryota; Metazoa; Chordata; Mammalia; Rodentia; Castoridae.
GUGCUCACUCCAGCAGCACACGUACUAAAAUCGGGACAAUACAGAAAAGAUUAACAUGGCCCCUGAGCAAAGGUGAUAUGCAAAUUCGUGAAGAGUUCCAUGCUUUU